CCCUGCCAUUUGUACACACCGCCCGUCGCUGCCCGGGACUGAGCCGUUUCGAGAAAAGCGGGGACUGCUGCUGUCGGGGCUUUCGGGCCUUGGCUUCGGUGGAAACCGCUUUAAUCGCAGUGGCUUGA
This 128-nucleotide ribosomal RNA is filed under the name uncultured eukaryote. RNAcentral describes it as "partial small subunit ribosomal RNA". It matches the Rfam family "Eukaryotic small subunit ribosomal RNA", at positions 1651 to 1776 of the family's 1831-position model. The record is from RNAcentral.